AGUGAACGCUGGCGGUAGGCCUAACACAUGCAAGUCGAACGGCAGCACAGUAAGAGCUUGCUCUUACGGGUGGCGAGUGGCGGAUGGGUGAGGAAUACAUCGGAAUCUACUUUUUCGUGGGGGAUAACGUAGGGAAACUUACGCUAAUACCGCAUACGACCUACGGGUGAAAGCAGGGGAUCUUCGGACCUUGCGCGAUUGAAUGAGCCGAUGUCGGAUUAGCUAGUUGGCGGGGUAAAGGCCCACCAAGGCGACGAUCCGUAGCUGGUCUGAGAGGAUGAUCAGCCACACUGGAACUGAGACACGGUCCAGACUCCUACGGGAGGCAGCAGUGGGGAAUAUUGGACAAUGGGCGCAAGCCUGAUCCAGCUAUACCGCGUGGGUGAAGAAGGCCUUCGGGUUGUAAAGCCCUUUUGUUGGGAAAGAAAAGCAGCAGGUUAAUACCCCGCUGUUCUGACGGUACCCAAAGAAUAAGCACCGGCUAACUUCGUG
Molecule: ribosomal RNA, 492 nt
Filed under: uncultured bacterium
Lineage: Bacteria
Description: partial 16S ribosomal RNA
Rfam family: Bacterial small subunit ribosomal RNA
Source: RNAcentral